UUAGCUCAUGAAUUGGACACCCCUGUGUCCAGGACCUGGGCGGUUCCAGAGGAAAUGCCUAAAUGUGGAGCACGUCUGACUCACAUCUUAAUUUACAGCUAUCCCAUGGAACCAGGCUGGUUUUACACCUGACUGUUAUAUAAAAGAAUCCAAAACCACCUCCAGAGAAGCUGGAAUGUGGCAGGGGGAGUGAAGCCUUGCUCCUGAAUAAGCCUGACAACUUUCUUUCCAAAUGAAUGCUCAAGGCUGGGAGCAAAGUGUCACGUCCUUGACUUCCAUCUCAGGCAGGAGCAAUGAGAGCCACUCGGCAUGUGUGACGGUGUACCCACAAUCAGGACAUUGUGAAACGGAAACUAGAAACACCAGUGUGUGUUCCCUUCAAAAGGCAAAGUUCACACUUUGUAAGCCUGUAAUUUUGUCUCUGGACAGGAUGAGAUAAACUCCUUUCCAGGAAACAUGAUUCACUUUUGAGGUGGAAAUGUAUUUAAAGAGUUUAUCUUGGUAAA
Molecule: long non-coding RNA, 506 nt
Organism: Anolis sagrei ordinatus
Lineage: Eukaryota; Metazoa; Chordata; Lepidosauria; Squamata; Anolidae
Source: RefSeq, a predicted model, not a curated record